RNAcentral lists this ribosomal RNA (184 nucleotides) under uncultured bacterium. RNAcentral's name for it is "partial 16S ribosomal RNA". It matches the Rfam family "Bacterial small subunit ribosomal RNA", at positions 1309 to 1500 of the family's 1533-position model. The record is from RNAcentral.
AACCCGACUCCAUGAAGCUGGAUUCGCUGUAAUCGCGCAUCAGCCACGGCGCGGUGAAUACGUUCCCGGGCCCUUGUACACACCGCCCGUCAAGCCAUGGAAGCCGGGAGUGCCUGAAGUGCGUGAGCGCAAGCAGCGCCCUAAGGUAAAACCGGUGACUGGGGCUAAGUCGUAACAAGGUAAC